UGCUCGAGUGGCGAACGGGUGAGUAACACGUGAGUAACCUGCCCUUGACUUUGGGAUAACUUCAGGAAACUGGGGCUAAUACCGGAUAGGAGCUCCUGCUGCAUGGUGGGGGUUGGAAAGUUUCGGCGGUUGGGGAUGGACUCGCGGCUCAUCAGCUUGUUGGUGGGGUAGUGGCUUACCAAGGCUUUGACGGGUAGCCGGCCUGAGAGGGUGACCGGCCACAUUGGGACUGAGAUACGGCCCAG
RNAcentral lists this ribosomal RNA (245 nucleotides) under uncultured Actinomycetales bacterium. RNAcentral's name for it is "partial 16S ribosomal RNA". It matches the Rfam family "Bacterial small subunit ribosomal RNA", at positions 88 to 334 of the family's 1533-position model. The record is from RNAcentral. Lineage: Bacteria; Bacillati; Actinomycetota; Actinomycetes; Actinomycetales.